RNAcentral lists this unclassified non-coding RNA (340 nucleotides) under soil metagenome. Its description in RNAcentral is "partial contains 5.8S ribosomal RNA, internal transcribed spacer 2, and large subunit ribosomal RNA". The stretch from base 1 to 120 matches the Rfam family "5.8S ribosomal RNA", at positions 35 to 154 of the family's 154-position model. The record is from RNAcentral.
GAUGAAGAACGUAGCGAAAUGCGAUAAGUAAUGUGAAUUGCAGAAUUCAGUGAAUCAUCGAAUCUUUGAACGCACAUUGCGCCCGCCAGCACUCUGGCGGGCAUGCCUGUUCGAGCGUCAUUUCAACCAUCAAGCCCCCAGGGGCUUGUGCUGGGGCCCUGCGGCUGCCCGCAGGCCCUGAAAACCAGUGGCGGGCUCGCUGUCACACCGGGCGUAGUAGAUUUUAUCUCGCUCAGGGCGUGCUGCGGGUUCCGGCCGUUAAAAAGCCUUUUUUACCCAAGGUUGACCUCGGAUCAGGUAGGAAGACCCGCUGAACUUAAGCAUAUCAAUAAGCGGAGGA